ACAAGCUUGAAAUAGUCGUUUCAGCUAAUGAAGAGCUCCGACAAGAGGUUAAUUGCAACUCUACUGAAUUCAAUUUCUGCUUCUGUUGGUGAUUAUGAGAUUCAUGCAUAUGAUGAUGGGGAAAAGCUUGCUGAAUUGUAUGAAAAAUCGCAACUGAUUGGGUCCAGAUGCAGCAGAGCCCCAGGCAUCAAAGAUGAUCACAUGAACAUCAAGGCAGGUGGGACCCACUUCUCCUUUCUUUUUUUCAUGAACGAAGACUGUGAAAAUAUAAAAUUAUAUGUAAAAAUAUCAAAAAUACAAAAUAUCUAUUAUAAAGUAUUGCUAAAAUCAAGAGAACAAAGACAUCAAGAACAAAGAGAAGAGAGUAUUUUCAUAAUCUUUUGUCACUCUAUCCAUCACUUUACAAUUGUCAUAUUUAUAGAAGUAAGAUCAUCAAUACUCCUAGUAAGUUACAAAACUAAAGUCAUGAGUUACAUGUAUUUAGAUAUCCAUUAUAUUAUGAAUCUAGACAUAAUUUUAUAACACUCCUCCUUGGAUGUCUAUUGUAUAACUAUACGCAUUGAAAGUUGCCUCAUUAAAAAUCUUACCAGGAAAAACUCAAUGGGAAAAAACCUUGGUUAAGGAAAAAAGAGUGCAGCGCGUAUUGACUCCUUCUCAUGAAUGUAUCCUUAAGUCCUUCAGUUGUUGCAUUCCAAUAUUGCGACGCAGUCCUUCAAACGUUGCAGUUGGUAAUGUUUUGGUGAACAAAUCUGCUAGAUUAUCUUUUGAGCGAAUUUGCUGAACAUCAAUGUCACCACACUUAUCAAGGUCAUGCGUGAAAAAGAAUUUUGGUGAGAUAUGCUUUGUUCUAUCUCCUUUGAUGUAUCCUCCUUUUAAUUGAGCUAUACAUGCAGUAUUGUCUUCAUACAAAGUGGUUGGAGUUCCUCUGCUGGAGGAUAAACCACACGUUUCACGAAUAUGUUGAGUCAUUGAUCUUAACCACACACAUUCUCGACUUGCUUCAUGGAUUGCAAGUAUUUCAGCAUGAUUAGAUGAAGUGGCAACUAAUGUUUGCUUUGUAGAUCUCUAUGAUAUAGCAGUAUCACCACACAUAAAAAGAUAACCUGUUUGAGAUCGACCUUUAUGUGGAUCAGAUAGAUAUCCU
RNAcentral lists this long non-coding RNA (1144 nucleotides) under Panax ginseng (ginseng). Its description in RNAcentral is "long non-coding RNA (PGIN_LNC007546)". Lineage: Eukaryota; Viridiplantae; Streptophyta; Magnoliopsida; Apiales; Araliaceae. The record is from RNAcentral.